GGAGUGUAGCGCAGCUUGGUAGCGCACAUCGUUCGGGACGAUGGGGUCGCAGGUUCAAAUCCUGCCACUCCGAGCCA
This 77-nucleotide transfer RNA is filed under the name Mesorhizobium sp. RNAcentral's name for it is "tRNA-Pro". It matches the Rfam family "tRNA". Rfam says of the family: Transfer RNA (tRNA) molecules are approximately 80 nucleotides in length. The record is from RNAcentral. Lineage: Bacteria; Pseudomonadati; Pseudomonadota; Alphaproteobacteria; Hyphomicrobiales; Phyllobacteriaceae.